Molecule: ribosomal RNA, 263 nt
Filed under: uncultured bacterium
Lineage: Bacteria
Description: partial 16S ribosomal RNA
Rfam family: Bacterial small subunit ribosomal RNA
Source: RNAcentral
GUCCACGCCGUAAACGAUGACGACUAGGUGUGUGUAACCGAAGGGUUAUGCGUACCGCAGCAAACGCGAUAAGUCGUCCGCCUGGGGAGUACGGCCGCAAGGCUAAAACUCAAAGGAAUUGACGGGGGCCCGCACAAGCAGCGGAGCGUGUGGUUUAAUUCGAUGCAACGCGAAGAACCUUACCUGGGCUUGACAUGCAUGUGGUAGGGAACCGAAAGGGGACCGACCUUCGGGAGCAUGCACAGGUGCUGCAUGGCUGUCGU